Molecule: ribosomal RNA, 253 nt
Filed under: uncultured bacterium
Lineage: Bacteria
Description: partial 16S ribosomal RNA
Rfam family: Bacterial small subunit ribosomal RNA
Source: RNAcentral
GACGAACCGUCCAAACGUUAUUCGGAAUCACUGGGCUUAAAGGGUGCGUAGGCGGCGCGGAAAGUUGGGUGUGAAAUCCCUCGGCUCAACCGAGGAAUUGCGCCCAAAACUACCGUGCUCGAGGGAGAUAGAGGUGAGCGGAACUUAGGGUGGAGCGGUGAAAUGCGUUGAUAUCCUAAGGAACACCGGUGGCGAAAGGGGCUCACUGGAUCUCUUCUGACUCUGAGGCACGAAAGCUAGGGUAGCGAACGGG